RNAcentral lists this ribosomal RNA (499 nucleotides) under uncultured bacterium. Its description in RNAcentral is "partial 16S ribosomal RNA". It matches the Rfam family "Bacterial small subunit ribosomal RNA", at positions 28 to 507 of the family's 1533-position model. The record is from RNAcentral.
GAUGAACGCUGGCGGCGUGCCUAAUACAAGCAAGUCGAGCGAACAGACGAGAGUGCUUGCACUCUCUGACGUUAGCGGCGGACGGGUGAGGAACACGUGGGUAACCUACCUAUAAGACUGGGAUAACUUCGGGAAACCGGAGCUAAUACCGGAUAAUAUUUAGCUUCGUAUGAAGCAAUAGUGAAAGACGGUUCUGCUGUCACUUAUAGAUGGACCCGCGGUGUAUUAGCUAGUUGGUGAGGUAACGGCUCACCAAGGCAACGAUGCAUAGCCGACCUGAGAGGGUGAUCGGCCACACUGGGACUGAGACACGGCCCAGACUCCUACGGGAGGCAGCAGUAGGGAAUCUUCCGCAAUGGACGAAAGUCUGACGGAGCAAUGCCGCGUGAGUGAAGAAGGUUUUCGGAUCGUAAAACUCUGUUGUAAGGGAAGAACAAGUACGUUAGUAACUGAACGUACCUUGACGGUACCUUACCAGAAAGCCACGGCUAACUACGUG